Molecule: ribosomal RNA, 1417 nt
Filed under: Salmonella enterica subsp. enterica serovar Heidelberg
Lineage: Bacteria; Pseudomonadati; Pseudomonadota; Gammaproteobacteria; Enterobacterales; Enterobacteriaceae
Also listed under: 1 other name
Description: bacterial SSU rRNA
Rfam family: Bacterial small subunit ribosomal RNA
Source: RNAcentral
GAGUAAUGUCUGGGAAACUGCCUGAUGGAGGGGGAUAACUACUGGAAACGGUGGCUAAUACCGCAUAACGUCGCAAGACCAAAGAGGGGGACCUUCGGGCCUCUUGCCAUCAGAUGUGCCCAGAUGGGAUUAGCUUGUUGGUGAGGUAACGGCUCACCAAGGCGACGAUCCCUAGCUGGUCUGAGAGGAUGACCAGCCACACUGGAACUGAGACACGGUCCAGACUCCUACGGGAGGCAGCAGUGGGGAAUAUUGCACAAUGGGCGCAAGCCUGAUGCAGCCAUGCCGCGUGUAUGAAGAAGGCCUUCGGGUUGUAAAGUACUUUCAGCGGGGAGGAAGGUGUUGUGGUUAAUAACCACAGCAAUUGACGUUACCCGCAGAAGAAGCACCGGCUAACUCCGUGCCAGCAGCCGCGGUAAUACGGAGGGUGCAAGCGUUAAUCGGAAUUACUGGGCGUAAAGCGCACGCAGGCGGUCUGUCAAGUCGGAUGUGAAAUCCCCGGGCUCAACCUGGGAACUGCAUUCGAAACUGGCAGGCUUGAGUCUUGUAGAGGGGGGUAGAAUUCCAGGUGUAGCGGUGAAAUGCGUAGAGAUCUGGAGGAAUACCGGUGGCGAAGGCGGCCCCCUGGACAAAGACUGACGCUCAGGUGCGAAAGCGUGGGGAGCAAACAGGAUUAGAUACCCUGGUAGUCCACGCCGUAAACGAUGUCUACUUGGAGGUUGUGCCCUUGAGGCGUGGCUUCCGGAGCUAACGCGUUAAGUAGACCGCCUGGGGAGUACGGCCGCAAGGUUAAAACUCAAAUGAAUUGACGGGGGCCCGCACAAGCGGUGGAGCAUGUGGUUUAAUUCGAUGCAACGCGAAGAACCUUACCUGGUCUUGACAUCCACAGAACUUUCCAGAGAUGGAUUGGUGCCUUCGGGAACUGUGAGACAGGUGCUGCAUGGCUGUCGUCAGCUCGUGUUGUGAAAUGUUGGGUUAAGUCCCGCAACGAGCGCAACCCUUAUCCUUUGUUGCCAGCGGUUAGGCCGGGAACUCAAAGGAGACUGCCAGUGAUAAACUGGAGGAAGGUGGGGAUGACGUCAAGUCAUCAUGGCCCUUACGACCAGGGCUACACACGUGCUACAAUGGCGCAUACAAAGAGAAGCGACCUCGCGAGAGCAAGCGGACCUCAUAAAGUGCGUCGUAGUCCGGAUUGGAGUCUGCAACUCGACUCCAUGAAGUCGGAAUCGCUAGUAAUCGUGGAUCAGAAUGCCACGGUGAAUACGUUCCCGGGCCUUGUACACACCGCCCGUCACACCAUGGGAGUGGGUUGCAAAAGAAGUAGGUAGCUUAACCUUCGGGAGGGCGCUUACCACUUUGUGAUUCAUGACUGGGGUGAAGUCGUAACAAGGUAACCGUAGGGGAACCUGCGGUUGGA